This is a long non-coding RNA of Armigeres subalbatus, 788 nucleotides long. RefSeq lists it as uncharacterized. Lineage: Eukaryota; Metazoa; Arthropoda; Insecta; Diptera; Culicidae. The record is from RefSeq and is a predicted model, not a curated record. The transcript has 2 exons.
UUUUGAAGAAGUAGUUAUCUACUCGUUUGCCUUUUUCCGGGCAAACGCAUACUUUUGAAGAAGUCAUCUGCUCUUUUGCAUUGUCCCGGGCAAAUGCGUACUUUUAAAGAAGGAGUCAUCUACUCUUUUGCAUUAUCCCGGGCAAAUGCGUACUUUAAAAAAAUGAAUGAUUUACUCUUUUACCUUUUCCGGGCAAAUGUAUACUUUUGAAGAAGUAGUUAUCUACUCGUUUGCCUUUUUCCGGGCAAACGCAUACUUUUAAAGAAGGAGUCAUCUACUCUUUUGUCUUAUUCCAGGUAAAUACAUACUUCUAAAAAUGGAAAUCAUAUAUUCUUACGACCCAUUGCAUUUCAUACUCUUUUCAACGAUUAUGCCAAAUGGUCAUUAUGCCAAACGGCUUUAUGCCAAAUGGCAUUAUGCCAUAUGGGCUUCCCCCAAUAUGAACAACGAGUAUAAUGGAUUAUAUGCUCCUUCGUAUUAUAUGUGAGCCCUAACAAACAUAUCAAAUGGGCUUCAUUCCGGGCAAAUGCGUGCUUUAAAAUAGGGCAGCAUAUGUCGUUUUGCCUUAUUCCGGGCAAAUGCGUACUUCAAUAUAAGUAUUUUUGCAUAGAAAUAUAGCAUCUAGAAUUUUUAAUUUAUAGAAAUGACAGCGAAAAACAUAGUUUCUUAGACUGAUACCUUUUUCUGGGGAACGGGUCAUUCUGGGUUUUUGGUUUCUGGGGAAUGGGUCAUUCUGGGGAUUUCUUUUCGGGGAAAUGGUGCAUUCUGGGGAAUAUCAUUCUGGAGAA